Molecule: transfer RNA, 76 nt
Filed under: Nonomuraea diastatica
Lineage: Bacteria; Bacillati; Actinomycetota; Actinomycetes; Streptosporangiales; Streptosporangiaceae
Description: Nonomuraea sp. KC712 tRNA-Glu
Rfam family: tRNA
About the family: Transfer RNA (tRNA) molecules are approximately 80 nucleotides in length. Their secondary structure includes four short double-helical elements and three loops (D, anti-codon, and T loops). Further hydrogen bonds mediate the characteristic L-shaped molecular structure. tRNAs have two regions of fundamental functional importance: the anti-codon, which is responsible for specific mRNA codon recognition, and the 3' end, to which the tRNAs corresponding amino acid is attached (by aminoacyl-tRNA synthetases). tRNAs cope with the degeneracy of the genetic code in two manners: having more than one tRNA (with a specific anti-codon) for a particular amino acid; and 'wobble' base-pairing, i.e. permitting non-standard base-pairing at the 3rd anti-codon position.
Source: RNAcentral
GCCCCGUUGGUCUAGCGGUCAGGACGCCCGGCUUUCACCCGGGAGAACACCGGUUCAAAUCCGGUACGGGGUGCUA